Molecule: ribosomal RNA, 496 nt
Filed under: uncultured bacterium
Lineage: Bacteria
Description: partial 16S ribosomal RNA
Rfam family: Bacterial small subunit ribosomal RNA
Source: RNAcentral
GAUGAACGCUGGCGGCGUGCCUAAUACAUGCAAGUCGAGCGAACGGACGAGAAGCUUGCUUCUCUGAUGUUAGCGGCGGACGGGUGAGUAACACGUGGAUAACCUACCUAUAAGACUGGGAUAACUUCGGGAAACCGGAGCUAAUACCGGAUAAUAUUUUGAACCGCAUGGUUCAAAAGUGAAAGACGGUCUUGCUGUCACUUAUAGAUGGAUCCGCGCUGCAUUAGCUAGUUGGUAAGGUAACGGCUUACCAAGGCAACGAUGCAUAGCCGACCUGAGAGGGUGAUCGGCCACACUGGAACUGAGACACGGUCCAGACUCCUACGGGAGGCAGCAGUAGGGAAUCUUCCGCAAUGGGCGAAAGCCUGACGGAGCAACGCCGCGUGAGUGAUGAAGGGCUUCGGAUCGUAAAACUCUGUUAUUAGGGAAGAACAUAUGUGUAAGUAACUGUGCACAUCUUGACGGUACCUAAGCAGAAAGCCACGGCUAACUACGU